CAGGACGAACGCUGGCGGCGUGCCUAACACAUGCAAGUCGAACGGGGAUUUGUUUCGGCAGAAUCCUAGUGGCGAACGGGUGAGUAACGCGUAGGCAACCUGCCCUCCGGCCGGGGACAACACUCCGAAAGGGGUGCUAAUACCGGAUACGAAGAUAAUACCGCAUGGUGAUAUUUUGAAAGAUGGCCUCUAUUUAUAAGCUAUCGCCGGGGGAUGGGCCUGCGUCCGAUUAGCUGGUUGGUGGGGUAACGGCCUACCAAGGCGACGAUCGGUAGCCGGUCUGAGAGGAUGAACGGCCACAUUGGGACUGAGACACGGCCCAGACUCCUACGGGAGGCAGCAGUGGGGAAUCUUCCGCAAUGGGCGCAAGCCUGACGGAGCAACGCCGCGUGAGUGAGGAAGUUCUUCGGAACGUAAAGCUCUGUUGUUCCUGACGAACCUCCCCUUUAUCAACAACGGAGGGGACUGACGGUAGGGAACGAGGAAGCCACGGCUAACUACGUGCCAGCCGCAGC
This 515-nucleotide ribosomal RNA is filed under the name uncultured bacterium. Its description in RNAcentral is "bacterial SSU rRNA". It matches the Rfam family "Bacterial small subunit ribosomal RNA", at positions 25 to 518 of the family's 1533-position model. The record is from RNAcentral.